RNAcentral lists this long non-coding RNA (1563 nucleotides) under Citrus maxima (pomelo). RNAcentral describes it as "long non-coding RNA (CMAX_LNC000633)". The record is from RNAcentral. Lineage: Eukaryota; Viridiplantae; Streptophyta; Magnoliopsida; Sapindales; Rutaceae.
ACCAAUAUAAAUGAAAAAUUAAAAUUUCAACAUCAAUCCAACACAAAUUCUCUAAUUUAAGUAUAACAUACACAAAUCCAUUAAAAAAAACCACAAACUAGUAUCUAAAAAUAACAAUUACAUUUCAUAUUAUCAUUCAACACAAACUCCAAGAGAAGACCUUCAUUUCGUUCACCAUCAUAAGCACCCAUCCAAUAUGAUGCCUAUAAUAAUGAUUAAGAUUAAUAUUUUCCAAACAAUAAUACUUUUCAAAUAUUAAUCCAAAAAAAUUAUAAUAAUGAAAUAAUUCAUGCAUUAAGUUAAAGAAAAAUAGUCCAUACAAAAACACUUUGGUUAUUUGACACUUUGUAUAAUUGCAUUAUUUUCUUUGUAUAUUUUUUAGAUUUAAGUAUUUUUUAAUUAAAAUUAAAUUAAAAAUAUUUAAAAAAAAUUCCGGGUUUAGCGGAUAUCCAUGCAGGUAUCCGCUGGAUAUUGGACUAAUACCAAACCCACUUGCAUCCAAGUGCGGGUUUCAAUUUGUAAUAUCAAACUCGCCCGCAACUCACAAAAUUAUCCACAACGGGUGGGUUUUGGCGGGCAGGUUUGGGCGGAUUUACGGAUUUACGGGCACAAUUGCCAUCCCUCGCUAAAACCAUGUUAACAAUAUAUUUACAACACCUUGGGGAAUAGAAAUAUCUUUCAUUACUUGUUCAGAUGUACCCACUCUUUAUUCAUCAUCUUAAUACCACUGGAUAACAUCUUUCCUGGUACACAUACUAGUUGUUUUAUGUACCAUCCUCAUGAAGUGAUUUUCAAAAGCAACAUCAUAACUCCAUAUAUAAGUAAAUAGAAUGGCAAAAGGGAUAUUGAAAAUAGCAAUGUAUGACUAAGAUUACAAGCAUAAUAUGCAAAAUAAAAAAAAUACUAAAACUAAAUUAAAAGGAAAAAAAACUCAAUGAUAUAUUCUGGGCAACUACUAUAACUAAAAAAUCACUCAGUAAAAAAAUUAGAAUUUUAAAAAGAUAGCAAACGAAAAGAAAAUAAUAAUAAUUUGACAAGAAAAUGCCAAAACACAUACCUUUGUUUUUGGCGAGGUUACAAAACUAGUUCAAUAUGCGAUUAGCCAAACGUUACAAGACUUGGAGCUGGGUCUUCUUCAAUUUGGUGGCAUUAUUUUAUCAUAUCAAAUCCUAGGAAAAAGAAAUAGUCAGAUUCAAUUAAUUUUGUACAAAACCCAGAUUCACAAUUUCAACAAUUUCAAGAGAGAAAUUGGAAAAACAAAUUAUAACAAAGCUUUAAAAAUCCAAAAGGAAAACUUGUGAAUUACCUUCAUGAACCAUUUUCGGGAACAAAAUCCAUCAAUUGCUUCUACCAAGCUCAAUUCGUUUGGAGAUUGAGUUGCUCAACAAAUUAAUGGAUCAUUAGGUGAUAUGAUUUCUAAGGAAAUUUUGAGGGAUUAGGAUUUUAGGCCUUUAGUCACUUUGGUGUGUGGAGAGUGACGACUUGAGGAGAGAAGAAAACAAAAGCUUUGACUUUUGGGUGGGUGUUAACGUGGAAGUUGAGAGGGAGGCAAAAGGAUGUUAC